Long non-coding RNA from Hypanus sabinus (Atlantic stingray), 402 nucleotides. RefSeq lists it as uncharacterized. The record is from RefSeq and is a predicted model, not a curated record. The transcript has 2 exons. Lineage: Eukaryota; Metazoa; Chordata; Chondrichthyes; Myliobatiformes; Dasyatidae.
CUCGUUCCUUUGCGCAUGCGCGGUUCUCGUUGAUCGUUCCCUUUAGAAAUGGCCGAUGCUGCCGCGGUCUCCUUUUCUGUUUCACCGGUGGUGUGUUGUACCUGAGUCCGCGGUUCUUCGGUAGAACAAUGAGAAGAGGGCUUGACCUGGAUGAUCGGGGUCCUUAAUGAUGGAUGCCACCUUUUUGAGGCAUCGCUCUUUGAAGAUGUCCUGGAUACUAGGGAGACUAGUCCCCAUGAUGGAGCUGACUGAAUUUACAACUUUCUGCAGUUUAUUUCGAUCUUGCGCUGUGCCCCCACCCCACGAUACCAGAUGGUAAUGCAGCCAGUUAGAAUGCCUUGCACGGUACAUCUGCAGAAAUUUGCAAGUCUCUUUGGUGACAUAAUAAAUCCUAAUAGAACA